Molecule: ribosomal RNA, 301 nt
Filed under: uncultured bacterium
Lineage: Bacteria
Description: partial 16S ribosomal RNA
Rfam family: Bacterial small subunit ribosomal RNA
Source: RNAcentral
CAGCAGCCGCGGGAAAACAGAGGGUGCGAGCGUUAAUCGGAUUUACUGGGCGUAAAGCGUGCGUAGGCGGCUUCUUAAGUCGGAUGUGAAAUCCCUGAGCUUAACUUAGGAAUUGCAUUCGAUACUGGGAAGCUAGAGUAUGGGAGAGGAUGGUAGAAUUCCAGGUGUAGCGGUGAAAUGCGUAGAGAUCUGGAGGAAUACCGAUGGCGAAGGCAGCCAUCUGGCCUAAUACUGACGCUGAGGUACGAAAGCAUGGGGAGCAAACAGGAUUAGAGACCCCCGUAGUCCCUGUCUCUUAUAC